AAGUCGUAACAAGGUUUCCGUAGGUGAACCUGCGGAAGGAUCAUUAUUGAAUUUAAUGUAGAGUUGGUUGUAGCUGGCUCCCUUGGAUUAAUUUCUUUGGGGGCAUGUGCACACCUUCUCUUUCAUCCACACACACCUGUGAACCUGUGAGAUAGUAGUUUGGGGACUUUAAUGGACCCACUUCUGUCUACUUAAUUCAUAUAAAAUCAAUUUAAUUUAAAACGAAUGUAAUGGAUGUAACGCAUCUAAUACUAAGUUUCAACAACGGAUCUCUUGGCUCUC
RNAcentral lists this unclassified non-coding RNA (282 nucleotides) under fungal sp. Its description in RNAcentral is "partial internal transcribed spacer region". The stretch from base 1 to 46 matches the Rfam family "Eukaryotic small subunit ribosomal RNA", at positions 1786 to 1831 of the family's 1831-position model. Lineage: Eukaryota; Fungi. The record is from RNAcentral.